RNAcentral lists this long non-coding RNA (967 nucleotides) under Equus caballus (horse). RNAcentral describes it as "lncRNA (ENSECAG00000058136.1)". The record is from RNAcentral. Lineage: Eukaryota; Metazoa; Chordata; Mammalia; Perissodactyla; Equidae.
AUUGUAGUUUAUUUUUAUUUUUUUUCCAUUUGCUUAGCUUUAUGUUCUCAAUUUUCUACAGUCUUCUACUUUGUAAGAGACCGAAUCCAGUCUUGUCUGUUUGCCUGUAGAGUCUGUUGGUUUUGUAUUGCAACACAGAAUGGCAAGUUGAGUUAGGACUCUGCCUGAACAGGCCUGCCCACAGACCAGCCAGUUGGUUCUAGAAUCUGAAGACGACUCAGGCAAGAGAUAGAGCUUUCCUGGUUCUCAGGAGUCAUUUAAGCCAGAUACAGAAGCAAGCAGGAGCCAGAGAAAGUCUAGAGAGCUCCUAGAUAAUCAAAAAGGCUAAAAAAAAGUUGUAUCCUGAGUUGGGUGCAGAUAGAACUGAAGUAGUUAGAUAGACCUCUGAAAUCAAAGGGUCUCUGAAUGGAAUGCUAUGUCAUGCCAUUGUUGACAUAGCGUUCCGUCUCCACACUGAUGUUUACAUGUGUAAGCCAUACAUUCUACUGCAUUCAAAGCAUUGACCUGAGAUUAUAUCAAUGACGUAGUAAGAAGGGGCACAGGGGAUAAAGGGGAAAGACUUUUCUGAUGUUAUAGCCCAACAAAAGAACUGCAAAUAAUACAAUCCUCAUGCAGCGCCUCAAGAAGCAUCAAUCAUAUUUCCUUUAAAUGUGAAUGUUAACAAAGGAUUGGUGUCUACCUGUUUCACUGAAGGCAGAAUAUUUGUGAAGCCCCGGGAGAAGCUGUGCAAAACCAGGCUGAAAUUGAAUCCCCUGUGUGAUGGUUUGGAGGUGGGGCCUUUGGAAGAUGAUUAGGUCGUGAGGGUGGAGCCCACAUGAAUGGGAUUAGUGCCCUUGUAAGGGGCUAAAGAGAUCAGAGAUUUCCCCUUCGACUCUGUGGGGACGCAGCGACAAGAUGGCCAUCUCUGAACCAGGAAGCAGGUCCUCACCAGACACUGAAUCAGCCAGCACCUUGAUCUUGGACUUCC